Molecule: long non-coding RNA, 2871 nt
Organism: Bactrocera neohumeralis
Lineage: Eukaryota; Metazoa; Arthropoda; Insecta; Diptera; Tephritidae
Exons: 2
Source: RefSeq, a predicted model, not a curated record
GAAUUUAACGGUACAUGCUUUUAAAAUGUAUACAAAUAGCAGCGUAAAAACACAUACAAAUAUUUCCAAUGUAAGCUUUGGUUGUUGAGUAUGUUUCUGACACUCACACAAAGAACUCUUUGCUUACAUAUUUACAUGCACAUGGCGCGAAACUGUAUUUCAGGUUAAAUAUUUAAAGUUUUUUACAAAAUUUUGUAGUUAUCAAAACAUAUCAGUUAAGUACUUAUCAGCUGCUCUUCGUAGGAACUUAAAACUUGUAGAAAAUUCUCUCAGCGAACUCAAUUUUUAAUUUCUUCCAGUACUUGUGAUAAAUAGAGAGAACUACCAUCGCGCUCAUAACUGUAAUACAUAUCAAAAACCCAUAUUUUUUUUUGUUUUCCCCAAAAUUGCAUUCCUUUACAGAUUUACCCGAUUCGCAAUUGAUCAUAAGGGGUGAUAUAUUUCGAGGUUUCCCACUUUUUUAAAUAAAAAACACAGAAACUUCAAAUUUAAUGGGGAAUGUUUAUUGUCAUUCGAAAGAACAUUCUUUGGCACGUAGUUUUUGAAAAUUAUCUCUUUCAAAUGUUGGCCGCGGCAAUUUUAGAUGACUUGUUCGACCAUUUCGACUGGUAACUGGCGAAUAUCACGCGUGAUGUUUUGAUCCAAGGCCUCGAAUCGAAGCGGAAUCGUCCGCAUAGACCUUAUACUUUACAUAUCCCCACAGGAAAAGUCUAACGGUUUUGGUGGUCAGUCGAUCGGUCCAAAACGUGAAAUUAUCUGCACACCGAUGUUUUCUCAAUAAAUCCACUCAUAACAUAUUUGAAGCGAUGUGUGGGAAGUGGCGCUGUCUUGUUGAAACCAAAUGUCGCCGAGACCACGAGCUUCAAUUUCAGGCAUCAAAUAGUCGAAUCAUAGCGCGAUAACGGUCGCCAUUUACGUUACGUUUGAAGAAAUAUGGACCGAUGAUUCCACCAGCCUACAAAUGACAUCAAACCAUUAUUUGACAGCUCUUGAAACUCUUCAGGUUGCUCUUCGUCCCAAAUGCUGUCAUGCUGUCAUUUUGUCUCAUCACUGCAUAAAAUUUGGCUCAAAAACGUCGGAUCUUCCUGGAACUUUUCAAUAGUCCAGCGGCUUCAGUUCUUGCGGAAGCUGUGUUUUGUAUGCUUUCAAGUUAAGAUCUUGACGCGAAAUGCGCCAAGUCGUUCCAUAUAUCAGUCCGACUCUCCACGGUCUUCGUGCACACUCUCAGCUAGAUUUUCUUCACUGCGUGCUGGACGUGGUGUUGCGAAUAGUUCGCUCGGUGGUCUGAUUACGUUGACCUUAAGUUGAGCGAAGCGAGCGUAACACACUCUUUACAGAACGUGAAAUUUCAUAAUAAAGUUGAACGAUUUGUAAACGUUUUUCAGGCUUAAGUCUUACCAUGAUGAAAUGCCAAACGAUACUGAACAAAACUAACAAGACAGCUUGACACGAUUCUCACGUGAUCUGUCAAAAAAGGCUAUUGAAAAAAGUCACCCGUAAACAUAUGAAAUUUUUGUUUACAUGAGUUCUUUGCCUUUGGAUGUAUAACCCUUACAAAACCUGUCCAUAAACUAGAGGUAACCACAAAAUAAAAAUCACUUGGCUGUACUAGAUAAUCUAUAGAAUCAGAUUACUAUUUAUAAUCAAAAACUAGUUAUGCCAUUUUAAGAGAUCUUUGAAGUUAGGAUAUUCAAUAAUAUAGAAAAAUUACUGUCAAAAUAAAGCCACUCUCUAUUUUCAAAUCUUUUACUUUUGCUGUAUCUCAUGUUUGGUAACGGGUGCCUUAUGAAUCUGUGUACAGUGUUCAUGGCAUAAAGUACAAUACGAAGCCAUAAAAGAUAUUGUCAGCUCACAGGCUGAUUGUUAGUCCUUAAUUUUAGGCGUUGGAAAUGUCAAAAGUUUUCUUAAUAUUAAAUAUUAUGUUUUAAUGUUUUUUCUUUACCUCCUCUAACAUUUCCUGCACCGAAUGAUUGAUUUCAAAGAUUGCAAUGAGCUACUUCAUAAGCCAUAGGAAAAGGCAAUAUAGUAAACGUUUGCGUAACUCCCUAGUAGCUAAGUACUGCAAAAUUACGGAUUAAGUUUUUUCUACAUUUUUAAUUUUUACUUGACACCAGUUGAAUUGAAUGAAUAACUAUUAUUAACACGAAACACUAAGGAAUAGCCAAUGGAAUACUUUGCUACACUCAAAAAAUGUGUAUAUGAGUUCAACCAUCUAUCAGCUUUUACUACUACAAACUGAAUGAGCGCUUUAAUCUUUUUUUUAGAAAUUCAUAAUGAAAAGCUUAAAACAUAGUUUUAUAAGCAAGUGUCUGACAGCAUUUUAAAUAUCAUAACUAUACAUCAAUUUACUUUUUCAACGAAAGAGGCUACGAAUGUUUCAUGGAAACACAAUUUUUUUUUAUUUUAAAAUUAGUUCUACUUUCUCGAAUAUACUGGGCUGCGGAAAAGUUUUUGUUUAGCUUAUCACCGCUAAAUUUUUCAGUCAAGCAGAAAAGUAGAAAGCACUCCGUUGAGUGAGAGUUGUCAAACCUAUAUAUAAAACCUACUAACGGUAAAAUUUGUUUCACUGAACCGAUAAGUGGUAGUUAAACUUAUGGUUGAUGUAUAGAAAGUCAACUUAACUACAAGACAUAUAGCUUAUUCUUGAUAAAUCUCGAUUUCGAUAUAUUUUCUAACCCAGUAGCGUAUCCAGUAUAUUUUUCUGAGGAGGGUUUUCCUUCCAACAUAUCUUUAAUAUUGAUGUUACUUUGUGAAUAAUUCUGAAUUUGAAUUAAAAUCUCCAAUUUUGGGAUUCUAACCUAUAAAAGUGCAAUCUAGAAAAAAAUCGUCGCCUCUUAAAAUACACAAUUUAUAUAACGGUAUAUUACUAAA